RNAcentral lists this ribosomal RNA (467 nucleotides) under uncultured bacterium. RNAcentral describes it as "partial 16S ribosomal RNA". It matches the Rfam family "Bacterial small subunit ribosomal RNA", at positions 28 to 507 of the family's 1533-position model. The record is from RNAcentral.
GACGAACGCUGGCGGCGUGCUUAACACAUGCAAGUCGAACGGAAAGGCUCCACCUUCCUGGGUUACUCGAGUGGCGAACGGGUGGGUAAAACGGGGGUAACCUGCCCGCAACUUGGGGAUAGGCCGGGGAAACUGGUUCUAAUACCGGAUAGAACGGCCUUUUGGGUGGUGGGGUGGAAAGGUUUUCUGGUGUGGGGUGAGCUCGCGGGCUAUCAGUUUGUUGGUGGGGUAAUGGCCUACCCAGACGGCGACGGGUAGCCGGCCCGGGAGGGUGGACGGUCACAUUGGGACUGAGAUACGGCCCAGACUCCUACGGGAGGCAGCAGUGGGGAAUAUUGCACAAUGGGGGAAACCCUGAUGCAGCGACGCCGCGUGGGGGAUGAAGGCCUUCGGGUUGUAAACUCCUUUCGCUAGGGACGAAGCUUUUUGUGACGGUACCUGGAGAAGAAGCACCGGCUAACUACGUG